UUGGCAUGUCCCUGGAGCAAAUCCAAGAGGUAAAGACCACGAGGAAAAAUUCCUUUUCUGGUUUAAGUGGUCCCCCAGUACCCACUUAUUGGAGUUAGAAAAAAUGUUUCUUUAUAUGUGUGUCUUCUAAAGAAUUGAAUCUGAGACAAUAAAAGGGUCCAUGGUAGGUGUGAGCAAGUUGAAACGCUUUCUAAAUUAGAAAAUGGAAAAUGUUGUAAAGGACGUGAAUUCAGAUCAAUCCAAUUAGAGGAUUAUUUAUUGUUUCCUACAUGUAAGAAAGAGUCAACAUGAUGAACUGAUACAGAGCUGACUUCUGAGUCAGAAAAAACUGAGAAUAAGUCCCAUCUCUGGCAUAAUACCGGCUUUGUAACUAUGGGGAAGUCCCUUAAUCUCUCAGUGUUUCAAGAAACUCUGAGGUAACAAAUUGCAAAGAAGACAUCUGGUGAUGAAGUCCUAAGUUCAAGUCCAUCCCCAAAUAUUUAUUUGCUAUGAUAUACCAGAUGACAUGCUUUUUGGUCUUCUGGAGAAAGCAAGUGACCACUGGUGCCUGAAGAAAGAAGCAGGAUCAUUCUGGCUGGAUGUAUUGAGGAAGGGAGUAGGCAGGAUCAGAAGACUGAGUCCACUAAAAGAUUUAAGAAAGUUGGAGCAAAAUCUGUGAUCACCAGUCCUGAACCCACCAGAAGACUCCAAGAUGCAAGGAUUUGGAUAAUCUCAUUGAUGUCAUGCUACUCAUUGCUGAUUUCUCUAGUAGAAUUAGUCUAACUACCCAACACAAUUUCAUCUGACAGAGAUAGGAAAAAACAUCACCUAAUAAUAGAUGAAAUUUGCCUUUUCAAAAGGAAUAUCAGUUGACUCUCUUCUGAGUGACGUUAU
RNAcentral lists this long non-coding RNA (873 nucleotides) under Monodelphis domestica (gray short-tailed opossum). RNAcentral describes it as "lncRNA (ENSMODG00000030454.2)". The record is from RNAcentral. Lineage: Eukaryota; Metazoa; Chordata; Mammalia; Didelphimorphia; Didelphidae.